This 696-nucleotide ribosomal RNA is filed under the name uncultured bacterium. Its description in RNAcentral is "bacterial SSU rRNA". It matches the Rfam family "Bacterial small subunit ribosomal RNA", at positions 61 to 749 of the family's 1533-position model. The record is from RNAcentral.
GUCGAGCGAGAAGUCUUAGAUUGAAGCUUCGGCCGAUUUCUAAGAUGGACAGCGGCGAAAGGGAGAGUAACGCGUGGGUUAUCUACCUCCGGGUUCGGGAUAGCUGCGGGAAACUGCAGGUAAUACCGUAUAACGUCUACGGACCAAAGGUGUGAUUCCGCCUGGAGAUGAGCCCGCGUCCUAUUAGCUUGUUGGUGAGGUAACGGCUCACCAAGGCUUCGAUGGGUACCGGGUGUGAGAGCAUGGCCCGGCUCACUGGGACUGAGACACUGCCCAGACACCUACGGGUGGCUGCAGUCGAGAAUCUUCGGCAAUGCGCGCAAGCGUGACCGAGCGACGCCGCGUGCGGGAUGAAGGCCUUCGGGUUGUAAACCGCUGUCAGUUGGGAGGAAAUCCAUAGGGGCUAUCCCCUAUGGUUGACCUAUCAUCAGAGGAAGGACGGGCUAAGUUCGUGCCAGCAGCCGCGGUAAGACGAACCGUCCAAACGUUAUUCGGAAUCACUGGGCUUAAAGGGUGCGUAGGCGGCUUGGCAAGUUGGGUGUGAAAGCCCUCGGCUCAACCGAGGAAUUGCGCCCAAAACUGCCUUGAUAGAGUGAGAUAGAGGUGAGCGGAACUUAUGGUGGAGCGGUGAAAUGCGUUGAUAUCAUAAGGAACGCCAGUGGCGAAAGCGGCUCACUGGAUCUCUACUGACGCUGA